This 483-nucleotide ribosomal RNA is filed under the name uncultured bacterium. Its description in RNAcentral is "partial 16S ribosomal RNA". It matches the Rfam family "Bacterial small subunit ribosomal RNA", at positions 30 to 506 of the family's 1533-position model. The record is from RNAcentral.
AUUGAACGCUGGCGGCAGGCCUAACACAUGCAAGUCGAGCGGAUGAAGGGAGCUUGCUCCUGGAUUCAGCGGCGGACGGGUGAGUAAUGCCUAGGAAUCUGCCUGGUAGUGGGGGAUAACGUCCGGAAACGGGCGCUAAUACCGCAUACGUCCUGAGGGAGAAAGUGGGGGAUCUUCGGACCUCACGCUAUCAGAUGAGCCUAGGUCGGAUUAGCUAGUUGGUGGGGUAAAGGCCUACCAAGGCGACGAUCCGUAACUGGUCUGAGAGGAUGAUCAGUCACACUGGAACUGGGACACGGUCCAGACUCCUACGGGAGGCAGCAGUGGGGAAUAUUGGACAAUGGGCGAAAGCCUGAUCCAGCCAUGCCGCGUGUGUGAAGAAGGUCUUCGGAUUGUAAAGCACUUUAAGUUGGGAGGAAGGGCAGUAAGUUAAUACCUUGCUGUUUUGACGUUACCAACAGAAUAAGCACCGGCUAACUUCGU